CUUCAACUAAGCAGGAGAAAUUUGUGUGCCACCUGGACUGCACGAUGUACAACAAAGAUAAAAUUAUUGUUAAGGUUUUAGGCAGGGACAUUAUUGUUGAG
Copidosoma floridanum is the source of this 101-nucleotide long non-coding RNA. The record is from RefSeq and is a predicted model, not a curated record. NCBI's taxonomy places the organism in Eukaryota, Metazoa, Arthropoda, Insecta, Hymenoptera, Encyrtidae.